GAUGAAGAACGUAGCGAAACGCGAUAGUUAAUGUGAAUUGCAGAAUUCAGUGAAUCAUCGAGUCUUUGAACGCACAUUGCGCCCCCUGGUAUUCCGGGGGGCAUGCCUGUCCGAGCGUCAUUGCUGCCCAUCAAGCGCGGCUUGUGUGUUGGGCCGCCGUCCGCCUUCCCCCCCGGGGGGAGGGGGACGGGCCCGAAAGGCAGCGGCGGCACCGCGUCCGGUCCUCGAGCGUAUGGGGCUCUGUCACCCGCUCUGGAGGCCCGGCCGGCGCCCGGCGACCCCCAACCUUCUUCUAACCAGGUUGACCUCGGAUCAGGUAGGGAUACCCGCUGAACUUAAGCAUAUCAAUAAGCGGAGGA
RNAcentral lists this unclassified non-coding RNA (359 nucleotides) under soil metagenome. RNAcentral's name for it is "partial contains 5.8S ribosomal RNA, internal transcribed spacer 2, and large subunit ribosomal RNA". The stretch from base 1 to 120 matches the Rfam family "5.8S ribosomal RNA", at positions 35 to 154 of the family's 154-position model. The record is from RNAcentral.